CCUAUGAAACUCAGAACUCCACAUACUCACCAAGUAACCAUAGCAUCGAAAACAGCUCUAUGAAAGACACCCACACAGAAACCUACACAGCAGACGCUAAAACAAUUGGCGUCACUUUAUCUGUGGUGAUCCUCUUGGUUUCCAUGAGUGGCAUCAUCUUUGUACUAUAUCGAAGG
Poecilia latipinna (sailfin molly) is the source of this 176-nucleotide long non-coding RNA. RefSeq lists it as uncharacterized. The transcript is spliced from 2 exons. The record is from RefSeq and is a predicted model, not a curated record. NCBI's taxonomy places the organism in Eukaryota, Metazoa, Chordata, Actinopteri, Cyprinodontiformes, Poeciliidae.